CAGAUCUGCUAAUAUUUUUUAAGGAAGAUUACUUUGCCAAAAAUAAAAAAAAGGAAGAAAGUAAGCAAUAUAAAGUGGAAGCUAAGUUAAGAGAUAAACAAGAGCAAGAAGAAAAACAAAAAGUUAGCAGAAGAUGCUGAAAUGAAAACUUUAGGAGAUUGGAUGUUUGUUGAAAUUUUUGGGUGACUUAGAUGAUCAGACCUGUAGAAAAGAUCUGCACAUCCUUUUUCAAAUCAUGGUGAAAUAAAAUGGAUAGAAUUUGUCAGAGGAGCAAAAGAGGGAAUUAUUCUCUUAAAAGAAAAAGCCAAGGAAGCACUGGAUAAAGCCAAAGACGCACACAAUGUUAAGUUACAAUUAAGGAACAA
This 365-nucleotide long non-coding RNA is filed under the name Marmota monax (woodchuck). Lineage: Eukaryota; Metazoa; Chordata; Mammalia; Rodentia; Sciuridae. The record is from RNAcentral.